UUCGAUGCAACGCGAAGAACUUACCUGGUCUUGACAUCCCGGAGACCCUUAGGAAACUAGGGGGUGCUUCCAGUCUGGAAGAAUCUGGAGACAGGUGCUGCAUGGCUGUCGUCAGCUCGUGUCGUGAGAUGUUGGGUUAAGUCCCGCAACGAGCGCAACCCUUGCCUUUAGUUGCCAGCAGUUCGGCUGGGCACUCUAAAGGGACUGCCGGUGUUAAACCGGAGGAAGGUGGGGAUGACGUCAAGUCCUCAUGGCCUUUAUGACCAGGGCUACACACGUACUACAAUGGCCGAUACAAAGGGCAGCGACACUGCGAGGUGAAGCCAAUCCCGUAAAAUCGGUCUCAGUCCGGAUUGGAGUCUGCAACUCGACUCCAUGAAGUUGGAAUCGCUAGUAAUCGUGGAUCAGCAUGCCACGGUGAAUACGUUCCCGGGCCUU
This 438-nucleotide ribosomal RNA is filed under the name uncultured Desulfobulbus sp. Its description in RNAcentral is "bacterial SSU rRNA". It matches the Rfam family "Bacterial small subunit ribosomal RNA", at positions 950 to 1382 of the family's 1533-position model. The record is from RNAcentral. Lineage: Bacteria; Pseudomonadati; Thermodesulfobacteriota; Desulfobulbia; Desulfobulbales; Desulfobulbaceae.